RNAcentral lists this ribosomal RNA (430 nucleotides) under Riopa punctata (Common dotted garden skink). Its description in RNAcentral is "Lygosoma punctata (Common dotted garden skink) partial 16S ribosomal RNA". It matches the Rfam family "Bacterial large subunit ribosomal RNA", at positions 1961 to 2594 of the family's 2925-position model. Lineage: Eukaryota; Metazoa; Chordata; Lepidosauria; Squamata; Scincidae. The record is from RNAcentral.
GUAAUCACUUGUCUUCUAAAUAAAGACUAGUAUGAACGGCUAAAUGAGGACAAACCUGUCUCCUGUGACCAAUCAGUGAAACUGAUCUUUCAGUACAAAAGCUGAAAUAAGCCCAUAAGACGAGAAGACCCUGUGGAGCUUUAAACCAACUACUAAUAACCCUACCCUAGUAUGAGGUUUUGAGUUGGGGCGACUUUGGAGCAAAACACAACCUCCAAGCACAGAGGCACCCCUCUACUUAAGGCAAACAGGCCAAAACCAAUAGACGACCCAGUCACACUGGAUCAACGAACCAAGUUACCCCAGGGAUAACAGCGCCAUCUUCUUUAAGAGUCCAUAUCGACAAGAAGGUUUACGACCUCGAUGUUGGAUCAGGACACCCAAAUGGUGUAGCCGCUAUUAAAGGUUCGUUUGUUCAACGAUUAACAGU